RNAcentral lists this ribosomal RNA (253 nucleotides) under uncultured bacterium. Its description in RNAcentral is "partial 16S ribosomal RNA". It matches the Rfam family "Bacterial small subunit ribosomal RNA", at positions 524 to 776 of the family's 1533-position model. The record is from RNAcentral.
UACGGAGGGGGCGAGCGUUAUUCGGCAUUAUUGGGCGUAAAGGGCGCGUAGGCGGCUGUACAAGUCAAAGGUGAAAUCCCUCGGCUCAACUGAGGAACUGCCUCUGAAACUGUACGGCUUGAGGCCGGGAGGGGGUAGCGGAAUUCCCAGUGUAGCGGUGAAAUGCGUAGAUACUGGGAGGAACACCAGUGGCGAAGGCGGCUACCUGGACCGGUUCUGACGCUGAGGCGCGAAAGCGUGGGUAGCAAACAGG